RNAcentral lists this ribosomal RNA (773 nucleotides) under uncultured Actinomycetes bacterium. RNAcentral describes it as "bacterial SSU rRNA". It matches the Rfam family "Bacterial small subunit ribosomal RNA", at positions 28 to 818 of the family's 1533-position model. Lineage: Bacteria; Bacillati; Actinomycetota; Actinomycetes. The record is from RNAcentral.
GACGAACGCUGGCGGCGUGCUUAACACAUGCAAGUCGAACGGAAAGGCCCUUCGGGGUACUCGAGUGGCGAACGGGUGAGUAACACGUGGGUGAUCUGCCCUGCACUUUGGGAUAAGCCUGGGAAACUGGGUCUAAUACCGGAUAUGACCAUGGGAUGCAUGUCUUGUGGUGGAAAGCUUUUGCGGUGUGGGAUGGGCCCGCGGCCUAUCAGCUUGUUGGUGGGGUUAUGGCCUACCAAGGCGACGACGGGUAGCCGGCCUGAGAGGGUGACCGGCCACACUGGGACUGAGAUACGGCCCAGACUCCUACGGGAGGCAGCAGUGGGGAAUAUUGCACAAUGGGCGCAAGCCUGAUGCAGCGACGCCGCGUGAGGGAUGACGGCCUUCGGGUUGUAAACCUCUUUCAGUAUCGACGAAGCGCAAGUGACGGUAGGUACAGAAGAAGGACCGGCCAACUACGUGCCAGCAGCCGCGGUAAUACGUAGGGUCCGAGCGUUGUCCGGAAUUACUGGGCGUAAAGAGCUCGUAGGUGGUUUGUCGCGUUGUUCGUGAAAACUCACAGCUCAACUGUGGGCGUGCGGGCGAUACGGGCAGACUGGAGUACUGCAGGGGAGACUGGAAUUCCUGGUGUAGCGGUGGAAUGCGCAGAUAUCAGGAGGAACACCGGUGGCGAAGGCGGGUCUCUGGGCAGUAACUGACGCUGAGGAGCGAAAGCGUGGGGAGCGAACAGGAUUAGAUACCCUGGUAGUCCACGCCGUAAACGGUGGGUACUA